Diprion similis is the source of this 1031-nucleotide RNA transcript. It is a transcript of the gene named vacuolar ATPase assembly integral membrane protein VMA21 homolog, with no coding region annotated. The transcript is spliced from 4 exons. The record is from RefSeq and is a predicted model, not a curated record. Lineage: Eukaryota; Metazoa; Arthropoda; Insecta; Hymenoptera; Diprionidae.
CUUCAGUAUGGAUGAUGGAUGAAAAUAGGUUAUGUUCAUUUUUAUUUAGGUUAUGUGUACAUUUUCUCGACAUCGUACCGUCACGACUGAACUGUAAUCGGAGGUAGAGAUUGUAGAGAACAUUCAGGGAAAGUGGUGGUAUAAUAAAUUGACACACCUACACGAUAGUCACGCGCAACUUCGUUGUUUUUCUUAUAAAUAAUUGAUAAAUCGCGUUUCUCGUUUAAACAAGAGCUAAGAGUCAUACUACAAGCUAAAAUGUCGACUGCAGCUGAACCGUCUGAAUUGCAGGUGUUUAAAACGGUGUUUUUUCACUGCAUUGUUAUAAUCGUGAUGCCGGUUCUUUCAUUUUUCACUUCGAAAAUAUUCAUUUUCGACGGACUUCUAAAUUUGAACACCGUUCCAAGCAAUGUCUACGCAGCAGGGGUUUCAAUCAUCGUGCUCCACACUGCUUUAGGUGCUUUCAUUUACAGAGCAUACUUCGACUCUCAACCUAAAGUGCAAGUGAAGAUAGAUUAGUUAAGUUUGUAUUUCAAUUUUUGUCACAAGAAUUCAUCCCGCGGCAAGUACUAUGUAUAAUAAAGUUUUCAGUAUGCAACAGCAAUACAGGGUAAAUCUUUUCAAGUGUCGAAUCGAUUCGAGAUAAUCUGACAAGAUUAACUAAACACGAUGUGCCUUUGCAUUAACACAUCGACUCUGAGCUUCGACACUUGUAUGGUUUCACUCUGUAACAUUAUUUAACAGAAUCAGUUACUGUAUUAUUUGUUUACAACAGAGACUAGAAUUCUCUAAAUCUAAUGACAAGGAAUCACAUGGAUCAAUAUAACACCAUACAGGGAUUCUAUUAGGCUUUUAAGGAUCUACUUCUGUUAAUACUGUGAAUAGAUUAGAAAUUAAAUUUCUUUUGUAUUUACUAAAAAGAAAUUACGGAAAUUAUAUACCGAUUCUACCAAUCCUGGUACAGUGGUAUCGACUUCUCUAUUUUUAGAAACAAAAGACAGUAUAGAAAAUAUUAAUAAUUGAAAUUUAAU